GAAGAUUACAGACGGAGCUGCCACAACGUCCAACUUUGUUCGACACCUGAAGUUGCACAAAGAAAGGUAUGAAGAAUACCAGAUGAACAAAAGCAUCGUAGAUGAAUCACAACAGCCUUCAAUCUCACAAAUCCUGGACACUUGUAAUUGAUCCUGCAAGAUGCUGCAGAGACGGAGCAACCUGUGCCUGUGCCAGUGCCUGCUGAAGAAGAACUAGAGGACAUGGAAGGAGAAGGCCUGUUUGCUGCAUACCAUAAGAGGCAGAAAAGGGAUGUUGGGACCCCACCAGCAGUACAGCUAAGUCACUACAUUGACAUGGCAGAAGGACAGAAUGCCCUUUUGUUCUGGGCACUGAACAGUAAGACUCUUCCUUCACUCUUUCAAGUAGCCGAGUCUUGGCAGUGCCUGCUUCUAGUGCUCCAGUGGAGCGAGUUUUCAGCCAUGCUGGCAUCAUUCUGCGUCCCCAUCGUGCACAAAUGACUGACAGACUUUUGGCCAAUUUGAUCUUUUGCAAAUGCAAUGCAGUAUAGGGGCCUCCCUCCACCUGUCCACAGCACGCAUGCGCACCCACACUCACUCUCUGCUCAUCCUGUCCACACAGCUCUCUCACUCACUCACUCACUCACUCACUCAUUCAUACACACCAGUCUCUAUGGAGUCAUUCCAAUUAUAUUAUCAGGUUGGUCCAGUUUUUCACAAGUGAUCAUUUUGAGGAGUGAGGAUUUUAUUGAUGACAUGUUUAAAAAAGUUUAGGCUAAAAGGACCCAUGUCUAUUUGAAAGUUAAACUGUUUUGCAAUAUGAGGUCAAUACAAU
Esox lucius (northern pike) is the source of this 814-nucleotide long non-coding RNA. The record is from Ensembl. Lineage: Eukaryota; Metazoa; Chordata; Actinopteri; Esociformes; Esocidae.